RNAcentral lists this ribosomal RNA (1475 nucleotides) under metagenome. Its description in RNAcentral is "SSU rRNA". It matches the Rfam family "Eukaryotic small subunit ribosomal RNA", at positions 3 to 1428 of the family's 1831-position model. The record is from RNAcentral.
CCUGGUUGAUCCUGCCAGCAAUCAUAUGCUUGACUCAAAGAUUAAGCCAUGCAUGUCUAAGUAUAAGCAAUAUACAGUGAAACUGCGAAUGGCUCAUUAUAUCAGUGCAAAUCUAUUUGCCAAAUAAAUACUGCUUGGAUAACUGUAGUAAAUCUAGAGCUAAUACAUGCACAAAGUGCUGACUAGGGGAAACCUUGGAAGGCAUGUGUUUAUUAGAUACAGAACUGAUGUAGGGCAUUUAACUCUAUCAAGCAAUUGGUAGGGGUCCUACUUCGAUGAUGAUUCAUGAUAAGCUAACACGAAUUGAGGGCCUAUGUCCUCGAUGGUGCAAACGAUGUUCUGCCCUAUCAACUUUCGAUGGUAGUGUAGUGGACUACCAUGGUUGUAACGGGUAACGGAGAAUCAGGGUUCGAUUCCGGAGAGGGAGCCUGAGAAACGGCUACCACUUCCAAGGAAGGCAGCAGGCGCGCAAAUUACCCAAUCCCAAUACGGGGAGGUAGUGACAAGAAAUAUUGAUGUGAGACCUUAUAGGUAUCACGAUCGAAAUUAGAACAAUCUAAAAACCUUAACGAGGAACAAUUGGAGGGCAAGUCUGGUGCCAGCAGCCGCGGUAAUUCCAGCUCCAAUAGUGUAUAUUAAAGUUGUUGCGGUUAAAAAGCUCGUAGUUGAACUUUGGAGCGGAUGACUGUACCUCCACCUCUGUCCUUGUGUCAGGGGUGGGUCAAAGGGGUGGUUAUCUCAACCAUUGAUGGGGCGUCACAUUAAAGGUCUGUAGGUUUGGGUUAACGCCUGGCUUAUGGAUUGUGUUGCCUUCUUUACUGUGAAGAAAUUUGAGUGUUUAAAGCAGGCAAGAAUGUUUUGAAAACAUUAGCAUGGGAUAAUGAAAUAGGACCUGAUCCUUACCUUCAUUGGUUCUUAAGGAAUAGGUAAUGAUUAAUAGGGACAGUUGGGGUCGCUAGUACUGAGUGGCUAGAGGUGAAAUUCUAUGACCCACUCAAGACUAACAAAAGCGAAAGCAUUCGACAAGGAUGUUUUCUUUAAUCAAGAACGAAAGUUAGGGGCGCGAAGAUGAUCAGAUACCGUCGUAGUCCUAACAGUAAACGAUGUCAACUUGGGAUUGUAAGGCGUUACAUGGAUGACCCUUGCAGCACCAUGUGAGAAAUCAUAAGUAUCCAGACUCCGGGGGGAGUAUGGUCGCAAGGCUGAAACUUAAAGGAAUUGACGGAAGGGCACCACCAGGAGUGGAGUCUGCGGCUUAAUUUGACCCAACACGGGGAAACUUACCAAGUCCGAACACGAUGAGGAUUGACAGAUUGAUAGCUCUUUCUUGAUUUUGUGGAGAGUGGUGCAUGGCCGUUUUUAGUUGGUGGAGUGAUCUGUCUGGUUAAUUCCGUUAACGAACGAGACCUUAACCUGUUAAAUAGAGAUACAAAAGUGAGGGUUGGAGGGGUAUCUCCUUGUGGGGUAUCUGACUG